GCGUGGGGAGCAAACAGGAUUAGAUACCCUGGUAGUYCACGCUGUAAACGAUGAAUGUUAAAUAUGGGAAGUUUACUUUCUGUAUUACAGSUAACGCGUUAAACAUUCCGCCUGGGGAMUACGGUCGCAAGAUUAAAAMUCAAAGGAAUUGACGGGGACCCGCMCMAGCGGUGGAGCAUGUGGUUUAAUUYGAUGCAACGCGAAAAACCUUACCMCUCCUUGACAUGGAAAUCAUACCUAUUCGAAGGGAUAGGGUCGGUUCGGCCGGAUUUCACACAGGUGUUGCAUGGCUGUYGUCAGCUCGUGUYGUGAGAUGUUGGGUUAAGUCCCGCAACGAGCGUAACCCUCAUCCUUAGUUACCAUCAGGUAAUGCUGGGGACUUUAAGGAAACUGCUAGUGAUAAACUGGAGGAAGGUGGGGAUGAUGUCAAGUCAUCAUGGCCCUUAUGGAGUGGGCUACACACGUGCUACAAUGGUGGCUACAAUGGGSUGCAAAGUCGCGAGGCUAAGCUAAUCCCUUAAAAGCCAUCUCAGUUCGGAUUGUACUCUGCAACUCGAGUGCAUGAAGUUGGAAUCGCUAGUAAUCGUGGAUCAGCAUGCCACGGUGAA
RNAcentral lists this ribosomal RNA (608 nucleotides) under uncultured Wolbachia sp. RNAcentral describes it as "bacterial SSU rRNA". Lineage: Bacteria; Pseudomonadati; Pseudomonadota; Alphaproteobacteria; Rickettsiales; Anaplasmataceae. The record is from RNAcentral.